This 752-nucleotide unclassified non-coding RNA is filed under the name Tolpis laciniata. RNAcentral's name for it is "partial external transcribed spacer". The record is from RNAcentral. Lineage: Eukaryota; Viridiplantae; Streptophyta; Magnoliopsida; Asterales; Asteraceae.
AUCCCGAUCCCAAGCACCAUGGAGCCGACGAUUUGGAUCAAGACCUACAUCCCAAGCACCAAGGUGCCUGGUUGAUAUGGAUCGCGAUCCCGAUCUGGAGCUCCAGGGCGCCGAGGAUUUCGAUCACGAUCCCGAUCUGAAGCACCGAGUAGCCGAGGAUAUGGAUCAAGACCCCGGUCCGAAGCGACAAGGAGGCAAGGAUUUGGAUCACCACUCCGAUCAAAGGCACCAAGGCGUCGAGGGAUUGGAUCGAGAUCCCGAUCCCAAUCAUGAAGUUGGCUAUGUAAUUUCCUGUUUUCCACACCGUUCAGGGCAUUUUGGUGGUCGUAUCGGCUUUUAGUUGCUUGCUUGGUGUUAGUGCCAAGGGAGGGGUUGGAAGCUAGGUCGUCCUCUGGAAUGCUUGUUGUAAAGGUGUAUGAGUUGUGUUUGGCUUGUUACGGGUGUUUGUUGGCUGCUUGUGCAGGAACUUUCAUGCGUCCAAGCCUCUUCAGUUGUGCUACAAGGCCUUGUUUGUCUUGUGCAUACGGUGGGUUUCCUGUGUUGCAUACCUAAUCAAGGGCAUCGUAUGGCUUAAUCGAAGUAAAUAUUCGUAAUGCGCCGCUUGCGGCGUUGCACGAACCUCGAAGUGGUCUCUGUGGCCCAUGUUGUCUAUGCUCACGUAUGGAUGGCAUGGCCCUCGGAGCGUCGCUUGGUCUCUUGGAUACGGAACCUGAUGAUGUGGGCGGUAGGGUCUUGGAUGAUUCUACCUUCGC